AUGGAGGAGAGAGUAGCCUAUACCAUCAACAAGAGUAUAGAGAUAUGUGUUUUGAAGACUGGGAGAAAUUGUAAGCAGACCCAUCAUGUGUAGAUUAUGGAGGAGAGAGUAGCCUAUGCCAUCAACAAGAGUAUAGAGAUAUGGUUUUGAAGAAUGGGAGAAAUUGUAAGCAGACCCAUCAUAUCACUGGAAGGAAAUGGUGAAUAAGAGUGAACGGUAAAGUUAAGGGCAUGUGCUAUAGCUGCGCAUGGCCUCAGCGCUCAUUUCGGUCACACUGGUCCUUGAGCCUGUGGUGGGGUAUAGGAUAUAAAGAGUACUAAUUAGGAAUAUAUAAUGCAUCGUUAGAGGUUGAAGGGGAAUCUUGAGACAUCCUAAAGUUAAACACAUUGACCUUAUGACACUACUUAUGACCUUAUGUUACUUCUUAUGACCUUACGAGACACUACAUGUGACCUUAUGACACUACUUGUGACCUUAUGACACUUAAUGACCUUAUGACACUUAAUGACCUUAUGACACUUCUAAUAACCUUAUGACACUAUUAAUGACCUUAUGACACUACUAAUGACCUUAAGACACUUUGAAUGACCUUAAAACACUACUUAUGACCUUAUGACACUACUUAGGCCUUACGACUUUUCUUAUGAGCUUAUGUUACUUCUUAUGACCUUAUGACACUUCUUAUGACCUUAUGAAACUACCAAUGACCUUAUACUUAUGACCUUACGACUUUUCUUAUGAGCUUAUGUUACUUUUUAUGACCUUAUGACACCACUAAUGACCUUAUGACACUACUAAUGACCUUAUGACACUACUUUUGACCUUAUGACACUACUUAUGACCUUAUGACCCUUCUAGUAAAGCCUAACAUUUCUUCUCGGUACAAAGACUAAAGAUGAGAGACUGACACGCAAAAGUCUACAUUUAUUAAGACAAACCAAGUCCAAAUAAGAACAUCCACGUGGACUUAUCAAACAAAUAUUAACUACCGAUGACAAACUGACACUUAAAUUAAAAAUAAAAGUAGCAUAUACAUAGACAAGACUGACAUGGGAUUAGGACAAGAUUUAUUUAUGUCGCAAAUUGAUGCCCCGGACCACCAGCCGCCGCCACCUUGAUCUCCGCAGCAUCCCAGGUAACUUAAUAGGCUACUGUAGCGUCACUCCGCUCCACAUGACCACACCACGAAACACAUGAUAAAAGGGAUUGAUUGAUUGAUAGUUUAUUGUUGCAAGUAAAGAACAAAGGAGAAGGGAGGAGUAUGCCGUCCCAACCCCCAGGCAGGACAGUGUGAUUAUACAACUUAGGAUACAUGUGGAAGUAGGGUAUUACUGUGAUGCCAAAAUUUAGUUAAGUGCGGGAAAAUGUAAAUUAGGGAGGAAAAGCAGUGUUAAGUAUUAUAAGUAGGUAUAAGUGUCGCCAGGACUGGUGCUUGAGAGGCGGGGAAAAUUCCACCCGGCAACAGUCCUGGCUACACUUCUACCAACUUAUAAUACUAAACACCACUUUUCCUUCUUUAUUUACAUUUUCCCGUACUUCACUAAAUUUUGGCAUUACAUUAUUGGUGCCGGGGAUCGAACCCGCGACCGGCUAGAUGGGAAAACCAAUCGCCCUCAGAAGUGAAAACCUCGUUCGUGUAGUGUGUCUGGGAGGCUUUCCGCAUCAAGAGGGUUCACUAAGACUAUACCCCUUCCCUGGCAGAAGUGAAGUCAUGGGAAGGACUAUUAAAAUUACACCUGAUCCCAUAACGACCUGGGCGCGGAUUCAUCAAACCACUUACGAGACCCUGUUGUUGGUAAGUCUUCUAGUAACUCCAUCAUCUAGGAACGCGCUUGAUCUUAAGGUGACUCCAAUGCCAAUGAAAGAAGUGUCGACCAGGCCAGUACUUCAUUCACUUGUCAUCGGAGCAGCCUAAACUCAAGGAUCAUUCGUAGAGGACAGAUUUACUAAAAGACUUAUAAACGACCGGUCUUGUAGUGGCUUGAUGAAUCCGGCCCCUGAGCAUCGGCGUGUUGGUAGGAAUGACGGGGGUACAUUUCUGGGGCCCCCGUGGUCUAGCGUGCGUCUCACCCAGUUGUUCAUCCUCCCUUUCGGGCUGGUCGAUAAAUGGGUACCUGGGGAAGAUAAACUGUGGUAACCCGGAUGUCACUUUGGCCCGGGGUAAUGGGCUCCCUCCCACCACAGGCUCAAGGGCCAAUGUCACGGAGAUGAGCACCGAGGCCACGCGCUGCUGCAGAGUAUGCCCCCAACUCUACCUUUACCUUUAUCCUCAAGCAUUUCGACACUUUCACACGUUAGUCUAAAAAGGCUAUACAGAAAUUAUAUAUAUGAAUACACACACACACACACACACACACGCAUCUCCCAGCAUCCAUCCAUUACUGCUACACUUAAUUAAUUCACGCGGUCUGGCCGGGUCUAACUACUACAAAUGGUAAAGGUCAGUGAUGAAGGAGACUAUGAUGGAGAGUCUGGCUGUCUUAUCACUCUUAUAUCACUGUAGAAUCGCUUUAAUACUGGACGAGAAGUGGAAGUACCCUCUCGUUAUGGUCGUGUCAGUGUGAACAAGGUAAAGAGGAGUGAAGGUAGUUAAGAGCACGAUAUGGAUGGGACGUGAAAGAGUAGACGGGUAGUAGCCUAGAUGGGAGCUUAUGCGACUGUAUAUUUAAAUUAGCUGCUUGUGGCCUCAGUGCUCAACUCCGUCACAUUAGCCCUUAUGCCUGUGGUGGGGGGGGAUUCUGUAACUCAAGAUAAUGUUUUCUUAUCUAACAUUACAUAACGACGAGCUUGCAAGGGUUGUAUUUAUGCGUUUCUUAUCGCCCCAGACUCAUCUAUAAUGUAACCUUGUAGCCGUGGGAACUGUUUUUACAAUGUGUGUCUUCAAGUAGGUCAAUAAGUAGAGUAGAUGUGUGAUAAAUGUAUUGUAGUCAGUAGUUUUAGCGAGGGAAGGGCAGAGGUGGAAGGGUUGUGUUUAUAUGUAUUUUAUGGUUGCAGACUGAUCUAUUGUAUAACCUGGUAGCCGUGGAAACUGUUUUAACAAUAUGGGUAUCUUCGUGUCCGUCAAUAAUUAAUGUAGAUGUGUGAUAAACGUCUUGUAGUGAUAAACGUUUCGUAGUGAUAAACGUUUUCGUAGUGAUAAACGUUUUCGUAGUGAUAAACGUUUUCGUAGUGAUAAACGUUUUCGUAUUGAUAAACGUUUUGUAGUCUGUAGUUUCAGCGGGGAAGGGCAGCCCGGGGGUGGGGGUCUGCGAGUGAGUGAAGUAAUGCGCCCCCUGCCGUAUGCUCUCUGUUAGUUAUAGUUCAGUGUUCUUUGGGGGAUAAGAAGUACAGGCUUUGGGUGAAUGACGUGUUAGGCCUAUCCAGUAAUACUUUGACCAACUUAAGUCUGUAAAUAUCUAACAACCACGAUAUUGUGAACAUUAGAUUAUUUUUAUGCUGAGAAAUCGUACUGCUGGUAUAUAUAUCUUAAUAGUUGGAUGUUCAAACUUCUUCCUUUACUGUUUACAAGAUGAUUUUAAUUGUUUAUAGUUUGUAUUUGGUUACUAAAAGGUCGGGAUAUGC
This is a long non-coding RNA of Eriocheir sinensis (Chinese mitten crab), 3561 nucleotides long. RefSeq lists it as uncharacterized. The transcript has 2 exons. NCBI's taxonomy places the organism in Eukaryota, Metazoa, Arthropoda, Malacostraca, Decapoda, Varunidae. The record is from RefSeq and is a predicted model, not a curated record.